AGGAGGGGGGUAAUGAUCUGAUGAGGUUUCUGGUUCUUUAUUCCCAGGAUCCCUGAAUGGCCUUGAUGGGGAGGACGAAGUCCACAUCCGCCGCUCCGGAUUCCAGGUGGGCAGCACCGGUACCCAUGUAUGUACCUAUCAACUUAUCACUACUACUUGUUUUGGCUCCCUCCUCUGCUAAUAUAUAUCCUUUUUAAGUUUUAAUACCCACUACUAACUUGGUCCCAUGACUUACAAAUGUAUUAUAUGCUUGUAACCAGAUCUAUACAGUUUAUUCUUCAUCUAUCUAAUCUAGAUAUCCGAUAUGCAUCUCGAAAUUGCAGGUGAUUGUGAGGAGGAGACAAGCUUGUUGCCAAUAUGCUGUAAACUAUAUUGAUUAAGUAGUUCGGAGAAGACAUGCAUUACAAUUUAGGUCAGUCCAUUUGGUUUGUUAGACAUGAAAGUCAGAAAGACAAAUGUCAGCAUCUCACAAGAAGGAAUCUAGAUAUAUAUGCCAUGGUUACAUACUCUAGGACCCACCCCUAGGAUGCUCUGGCCCGUACCUCUCCAGUCCACCCAAAAGGAAACAUAUAAGGAGCCAUGUAUAUGCACCCAUACUCACGAGUCCAAGGCAACUCAGCUCUAACAUCCAAAGCAUCUAACUCCAAUAUGCAACCAAGUGUUAUCAACCACAUUUAGCUCUUUCAGUCUCAUCACUUCGUCCUACAAUAAGCUUAAUAGUUU
This 723-nucleotide long non-coding RNA is filed under the name Malus domestica (apple). RNAcentral describes it as "long non-coding RNA (MDOM_LNC013689)". The record is from RNAcentral. Lineage: Eukaryota; Viridiplantae; Streptophyta; Magnoliopsida; Rosales; Rosaceae.